AAGAGCCAUGAAGAUACUGUGUUCAAUUGUUUUGCCCUUUACAUUUAGGUCUGUGACCCACUUGGAAUAAAUUGUGUAUUGUGUGAAAGCAUCCGUGUUUUCUUCUCAGUUUGACUUACAACGGAGUGAUUAGCAUGUUGGCUAACCUACAAAUGGAUAUAAUGAACAGACUGCAGAGCCUGAGGACAUACAGAGGGAACAGUGGCUACUAAGUGACAACCAAGGACCAAGGUAGAAAAAUAUUUCCUGAAUGACAUCAUCAGAUUAAAAGGACAGAAUCUUCCCUGGCCGGUUUGGCUCAGAGCCAUGUUAUCUAGACACUGAUUUGUUUCCACAUUUCGUAUCUAAGGGACAAUGAAUAAUGAAAACAUCAGGAAUUAAAGAAAGUUAACCAGAGAGACACACAUACAUUAAAAUCAAUCUAAACUUCCCACUACUAUAAAACAACUUCACAUGCUUGACAAGUCAUAGCAGCAACUGCUAUAAAUUUUCCCAUGGCACAUCACCUUCCCCGACUAUAAAGAGGCUACAGCAAAGGAAACAGAUGGUCAUUAAUGAAGCAAGAAACUGCAUCACUUGUUUGAAGGUGAAUUCCUCAAAGCACAAAAAAGUUCAGAGUCUCCUCCAGGAAAUGUGCAAUGAAGGUCCUUGGCAAGCACAGGAUGAUCUGGACAUGGCCAGCUACAUCACCCGUCCAGCCCAGGGCUGAGAAUAAGCAGGGCUUUUCUGGAUUCUGAAAAGGGGGUGAAAAAGGUGCACUCUAGGUGCUGUCCCACACUACUUAUCCUUCCACCUCUGGGAAUUGGUCUGAAAAAGUAUCUGCUGGCCAGCUUUGUCCAGCUUUAAUAUAGGCAUAGGCUAGUCCAAUUCUGCCGAGACAGAUCCUCCAAUUUCUUGCCUGGACAAGACGGCAUGGAAGCUGGCAUUAAUGGGAGCCUCAGAUAGCAAGGUGGCUAGGGUCUCAGCAAUAUAUAUGUUCACUUAACCCACCUGUGUUUUCUACAGUACCCUUGCUUUUAACUGGCCCUGUUGUCCUCUAGUCCAGAUACUAUGCAUUACCUUCUUCAUAUGAAGCAAGUGGUCUCUUUUAU
Molecule: long non-coding RNA, 1091 nt
Organism: Molossus molossus (Pallas's mastiff bat)
Lineage: Eukaryota; Metazoa; Chordata; Mammalia; Chiroptera; Molossidae
Exons: 8
Source: RefSeq, a predicted model, not a curated record